AACGAACGCUGGCGGCGUGCCUAACACAUGCAAGUCGUGCGAGAAAGUUCCUUCGGGAGCGAGUAAAGCGGCGCACGGGUGAGUAACACGUAGGUAACCUGCCCCCCAGUCUGGAACAACUAGAGGGAACUCUAGCUAAUGCCGGAUGAGACCACGAUCCCUUCGGGGGUUGCGGCCAAAGAUGGCCUCUACUUGUAAGCUAUCGCUGAGGGAUGGGCCUGCGGGCCAUUAGCUUGUUGGUGAGGUAACGGCUCACCAAGGCUGUGAUGGCUAGCUGGUCUGAGAGGAUGACCAGCCACACUGGGACUGAGACACGGCCCAGACUCCUACGGGAGGCAGCAGUGGGGAAUAUUGCGCAAUGGGCGAAAGCCUGACGCAACGACGCCGCGUGGGUGGAUGAAGGCCUCGGUCGUAAGUACCGUCGUCGCGACGGGAAGGGAAGUAAAGACGA
RNAcentral lists this ribosomal RNA (451 nucleotides) under uncultured bacterium. RNAcentral describes it as "bacterial SSU rRNA". It matches the Rfam family "Bacterial small subunit ribosomal RNA", at positions 29 to 464 of the family's 1533-position model. The record is from RNAcentral.